CGACUACAUGAAGCUGGAAUCGCUAGUAAUCGCGGAUCAGAAUGCCGCGGUGAAUACGUUCCCGGGUCUUGUACACACCGCCCGUCACACCAUGGGAGUCGGAAAUGCCCGAAGUCUGUGACCCAACCUACGGGAGGGAGCAGCCGAAGGCAGGUCGGAUGACUGGGGUGAAGUCGUAACAAGGUACC
This 188-nucleotide ribosomal RNA is filed under the name uncultured bacterium. Its description in RNAcentral is "partial 16S ribosomal RNA". It matches the Rfam family "Bacterial small subunit ribosomal RNA", at positions 1313 to 1500 of the family's 1533-position model. The record is from RNAcentral.